This 463-nucleotide ribosomal RNA is filed under the name uncultured archaeon. Its description in RNAcentral is "bacterial SSU rRNA". It matches the Rfam family "Archaeal small subunit ribosomal RNA", at positions 879 to 1339 of the family's 1478-position model. The record is from RNAcentral.
CCACAAGGGGUGAAGCCUGCGGUUCAAUUGGAGCCAACGCCAGGAAACUUACCAGGAGCGACAGCAGGUUGAGAGUCAGGCUGAAGGCUUUACUUGACGAGCUGAGAGGAGGUGCAUGGCCGUCGCCAGCUCGUGCCGUGAGGCGUCCUGUUAAGUCAGGCAACGAGCGAGACCCUUGCCAGUAAUUGCUAGCCGCGAUUGCAAGAUUGCGGAGGCUAGUUACAGGGACUGCCGCUGCUAAAGCGGAGGAAGGAGAGGGCCACGGCAGGUCAGUAUGCCCCGAAACUCCUGGGCCACACGCGGGCUGCAAUGGUAGGGACAGUGGGUUCCGACCUCGACAGAGGAAGGCAAUCCUCAAACCCUACCCCAGUUGUGAUUGAGGGCUGAAACCCGCCCUCAUGAAUAUGGAAUCCCUAGUAACCGCGUGUCAUCAUCGCGCGGUGAAUACGUCCCUGCUCCUUGU